UGGGGAAUAUUGGACAAUGGGCGAAAGCCUGAUCCAGCCAUGCCGCGUGUGUGAAGAAGGUCUUCGGAUUGUAAAGCUCUUUAAGUUGGGAGGAAGGGCAGUAAGCGAAUACCUUGCUGUUUUGACGUUACCGACAGAAUAAGCACCGGCUAACUCUGUGCCAGCAGCCGCGGUAAUACAGAGGGUGCAAGCGUUAAUCGGAAUUACUGGGCGUAAAGCGCGCGUAGGUGGUUCGUUAAGUUGAAUGUGAAAGCCCCGGGCUCAACCUGGGAACUGCAUCCAAAACAGGCGAGCUAGAGUAGGGCAGAGGGUGGUGGAAUUUCCUGUGUAGCGGUGAAAUGCGUAGAUAUAGGAAGGAACACCAGUGGCGAAGGCGACCACCUGGGCUCAUACUGACACUGAGGUGCGAAAGCGUGGGGAGCAAACAGG
RNAcentral lists this ribosomal RNA (429 nucleotides) under Pseudomonadota bacterium. Its description in RNAcentral is "Proteobacteria bacterium partial 16S ribosomal RNA". It matches the Rfam family "Bacterial small subunit ribosomal RNA", at positions 355 to 776 of the family's 1533-position model. The record is from RNAcentral. Lineage: Bacteria; Pseudomonadati; Pseudomonadota.